UGGAGCAAAUCUCAAAAAGCCGUCCCAGUUCGGAUCGCAGGCUGCAACCCGCCUGCGUGAAGUUGGAAUCGCUAGUAAUCGCGGAUCAGCAUGCCGCGGUGAAUACGUUCCCGGGCCUUGUACACACCGCCCGUCACACCAUGAGAGUCGGGAACACCCGAAGUCCGUAGCCUAACCGCAAGGGGGGCGCGGCCGAAGGUGGGUUCGAUAAUUGGGGUGAAGUCGUAACAAGGUACC
This 237-nucleotide ribosomal RNA is filed under the name uncultured bacterium. Its description in RNAcentral is "partial 16S ribosomal RNA". It matches the Rfam family "Bacterial small subunit ribosomal RNA", at positions 1263 to 1500 of the family's 1533-position model. The record is from RNAcentral.